Molecule: ribosomal RNA, 124 nt
Filed under: uncultured eukaryote
Lineage: Eukaryota
Description: partial small subunit ribosomal RNA
Source: RNAcentral
UUGUCGAAAUGCCAAAUCUUUUCCUCGUCAUACUGAAAAUUCCAUACCGCAAGGUUGGUCCAGCAUUCAACUGUAAAGCUGUCAAGAUGAUCGAAUGUGCCCGCACCAAGCUCGACCCAGCGGU